UUUAGUCUACUAAAAUAAAUAAAUUAAUGAAUAAAUUUAAAAAAAGAAAAUGAACCCUUUUCCACCUCUGACAUCCUGCUCAGGGCCAGGGUUACUGUGGGGAUGGACAGUGAAUUUUGGGGCAGAGCCUAUCCAAGCUCCAGGCUGCUGCAUGCCACCUUGCCAAGUGCCCAAAGACACCCUCAGAACAGCAGGGCAGCUUUGAGGAGCCUGAAAGAUUCACAGAUGCUCCAAGGAGAUUACAAUGAAGAGUUUUCCUUAUGUCUCAGACACGCCUUUGGACUUUUAAGUAGUGUUGAGACUGAAAGACUACGGGGAGUUUUGAUGUUAGAAUAAAAGUAUUUGCAUUAU
This is a long non-coding RNA of Mastomys coucha (southern multimammate mouse), 351 nucleotides long. RefSeq lists it as uncharacterized. The record is from RefSeq and is a predicted model, not a curated record. The transcript has 2 exons. NCBI's taxonomy places the organism in Eukaryota, Metazoa, Chordata, Mammalia, Rodentia, Muridae.